UCGAACGAUGAACCACUUCGGUGGGGAUUAGUGGCGAACGGGUGAGUAACACGUGGGCAAUCUGCCCUUCACUCUGGGACAAGCCCUGGAAACGGGGUCUAAUACCGGAUAACACUCCCUCCCUCCUGGGUGGGGGUUGAAAGCUCCGGCGGUGAAGGAUGAGCCCGCGGCCUAUCAGCUUGUUGGUGAGGUAAUGGCUCACCAAGGCGACGACGGGUAGCCGGCCUGAGAGGGCGACCGGCCACACUGGGACUGAGACACGGCCCAGACUCCUACGGGAGGCAGCAGUGGGGAAUAUUGCACAAUGGGCGAAAGCCUGAUGCAGCGACGCCGCGUGAGGGAUGACGGCCUUCGGGUUGUAAACCUCUUUCAGCAGGGAAGAAGCGAAAGUGACGGUACCUGCAGAAGAAGCGCCGGCUAACUACGUGCCAGCAGCCGCGGUAAUACGUAGGGCGCAAGCGUUGUCCGGAAUUAUUGGGCGUAAAGAGCUCGUAGGCGGCUUGUCACGUCGGGUGUGAAAGCCCGGGGCUUAACCCCGGGUCUGCAUUCGAUACGGGCUAGCUAGAGUGUGGUAGGGGAGAUCGGAAUUCCUGGUGUAGCGGUGAAAUGCGCAGAUAUCAGGAGGAACACCGGUGGCGAAGGCGGAUCUCUGGGCCAUUACUGACGCUGAGGAGCGAAAGCGUGGGGAGCGAACAGGAUU
This 700-nucleotide ribosomal RNA is filed under the name Streptomyces sp. RNAcentral's name for it is "bacterial SSU rRNA". It matches the Rfam family "Bacterial small subunit ribosomal RNA", at positions 62 to 779 of the family's 1533-position model. The record is from RNAcentral. Lineage: Bacteria; Bacillati; Actinomycetota; Actinomycetes; Kitasatosporales; Streptomycetaceae.